RNAcentral lists this ribosomal RNA (404 nucleotides) under uncultured Gammaproteobacteria bacterium. RNAcentral describes it as "bacterial SSU rRNA". It matches the Rfam family "Bacterial small subunit ribosomal RNA", at positions 9 to 417 of the family's 1533-position model. Lineage: Bacteria; Pseudomonadati; Pseudomonadota; Gammaproteobacteria. The record is from RNAcentral.
GAGUUUGAUCCUGGCUCAGAGUGAACGCUGGCGGCAGGCCUAACACAUGCAAGUCGAGCGGCAGCGCGGGGCAACCUGGCGGCGAGCGGCGGACGGGUGAGGAAUACAUCGGAAUCUACCCAGUCGUGGGGGAUAACGUAGGGAAACUUACGCUAAUACCGCAUACGACCUGAGGGUGAAAGCAGGGGACCGCAAGGCCUUGCGCGAUUGGAUGAGCCGAUGUCCGAUUAGCUAGUUGGUGAGGUAAAGGCUCACCAAGGCGACGAUCGGUAGCUGGUCUGAGAGGAUGAUCAGCCACACUGGAACUGAGACACGGUCCAGACUCCUACGGGAGGCAGCAGUGGGGAAUAUUGGACAAUGGGCGCAAGCCUGAUCCAGCCAUGCCGCGUGUGUGAAGAAGGCCU